UACAAUAGAAUCGGCUCCUCAAGGGUGGUCCGGCUCAUCCCCGGAAAGAAAGGGGGUGAGGCUGAUGACAGUAUUUGAAAGUCUAUCGCUCAUGAUAGCUUUUGGUGCAUUAAUCGCAUUGCUGUCACAAGACAAAAAGAAAUAGACCUUCCUUGAGUCCUGACGAGCUUCAGGGAUUGGUCUAUUUCAAUAACCAUUGAGCCGGCCGCUCAUUUGAGAGGCGACUAUUGUAUCGACCG
Molecule: small RNA, 239 nt
Filed under: Evansella caseinilytica
Lineage: Bacteria; Bacillati; Bacillota; Bacilli; Caryophanales; Bacillaceae
Description: Bacillus caseinilyticus BsrG
Rfam family: BsrG
About the family: bsrE, bsrG and bsrH pair through intermolecular interactions with antisense sRNAs. SR4 interaction with the 3'UTR of bsrG RNA promotes bsrG degradation and inhibits its translation. SR5 also overlaps bsrG from nucleotide 163 to 52 (Rfam overlap check).
Source: RNAcentral